GACGAACGCUGGCGGCGUGCUUAACACAUGCAAGUCGAGCGGUAAGGCCCUUUCGGGGGUACACGAGCGGCGAACGGGUGAGUAACACGUGGGUGACCUGCCUUUAGCUCUGGGAUAAGCCUGGGAAACUGGGUCUAAUACCGGAUAUGACUCCGCGGUGCAUGCUGUGGGGUGGAAAGCCUUGUGCGGCUGGAGAUGGGCCCGCGGCCUAUCAGCUUGUUGGUGGGUGAUGGCCUACCAAGGCGA
This 246-nucleotide ribosomal RNA is filed under the name uncultured Actinomycetes bacterium. Its description in RNAcentral is "uncultured actinobacterium partial 16S ribosomal RNA". It matches the Rfam family "Bacterial small subunit ribosomal RNA", at positions 28 to 276 of the family's 1533-position model. The record is from RNAcentral. Lineage: Bacteria; Bacillati; Actinomycetota; Actinomycetes.